Molecule: ribosomal RNA, 453 nt
Filed under: uncultured bacterium
Lineage: Bacteria
Description: bacterial SSU rRNA
Rfam family: Bacterial small subunit ribosomal RNA
Source: RNAcentral
GUACGGGAGGCAGCAGUGGGGAAUUUUGCGCAAUGGGCGAAAGCCUGACGCAGCAACGCCGCGUGGAGGAUGAAGGCCUUCGGGUCGUAAACUCCUGUCGAUGGGGACGAAAGCCUCGCAAGAGGUGUGACUGUACCCGUUGAGGAAGCCACGGCUAACUCCGUGCCAGCAGCCGCGGUAAUACGGAGGUGGCAAGCGUUGUUCGGAAUUACUGGGCGUAAAGGGCGCGUAGGCGGCGGAACAAGUCAGAUGUGAAAGCCCCGGGCUUAACUCGGGAAUUGCAUCUGAAACUGUUUUGCUUGAGUCCUGGAGGGGAUGGUGGAAUUCCCAGUGUAGCGGUGAAAUGCGUAGAUAUUGGGAGGAACACCUGCGGCGAAGGCGGCCAUCUGGACAGUGACUGACGCUGAGGCGCGAAAGCUAGGGGAGCGAACGGGAUUAGAUACCCCGGUAGUC